Non-coding RNA from Myodes glareolus (Bank vole), 2462 nucleotides. NCBI's taxonomy places the organism in Eukaryota, Metazoa, Chordata, Mammalia, Rodentia, Cricetidae. The record is from RefSeq and is a predicted model, not a curated record.
AAAUGAAUACAUAAUAAAUAAUUAACAGUAAAUACUUAAGGAAGGGAAGAAAAGAAAGUAUGUGUGAAUCCUCGGGGACGGUAUCAAAGAUGCUCAUGUUUGCUGAGGGAGACUGCCGACUAUUUCUGUGAGCCACUGAGAUUACUUUUCUAGCAAAUAAACAUUCCCCAGGUAUUGUCUGUAAGAUGCCUCGUGUAUUAUGGAUGCUGGAACGAUGAAUCCCACCCCUGAGGCUGUCCAUCCACAGCAGGGGGUCAGCUCAGAGAUUUGCUGCAGUGAGUUCUGAUUAACUAUGCCCUAUCUUCUCUUGCUCCCGUGGUAUGACGGUCCAGUGCCACUCUAAACGGGCAACACUGCUGACAAAUGACGGAAUGUGGCGAGUGUUGGCAUCAGCUGGAGGCAGCUCCGUGUAAGGAAAGGCCGCGCCCACUGAGCUGUGAUGAGCAGGCGGGAGGCCUGCACUUGUCUCCAAGUGUGAUAACAAAAUACAUAUUUGUGUCUUUGUCCUAGACUCCUAUCAUAGAGCUCCUAAAAAACUUGAUGACCUUGAUAUUCUCUAAGUGGUAGGAGUGCUUUGGGCAUGCUAAUGAGAUGACUGAUGGCAGCUUCAGGACAGGGCUGCUCCCCAGAGGAACCCCUUGACAAGAGGCUGCAACUUUCAGCUCAUCUCUGAACAUCUGGGAAGGGGCGGGGACCUGGGCAUUGAGCUAAUCACCAGUGGUCAUGAUUCAAUUAGCUAUGUCUACAUGGAGCCUCCAGAGAAACUUCUAGAACACAGGCCCAGGUUUUCGUGUUGGUUAGCGCCCAGAGGCAUACCCAGAAGGGUGUACGGAAGGUCUGUGUCCCUCCUCCAUAGCUCACCCUCCGUAUCUCUUUCCUGCAGUUGCUCCUGAGCUGCUUUAUAAUACACUGGCAAUCAUCACGUGGAACACUUCCCUGAAUCUGGAGUUCACAGCUAAUUGUUCGGAAGGACAGAUGACCUGGACCAGCGGCUGGAGUCAGAAGUGAGGCGCUCCUUCAGUCUUUCCUAAGCUGGUGUACCUGUGCUGACUCCAAGUAGCUAAUAUCUUAGACAAAGGUGAGUCAUUCAGAGAAAGAAGCUGCGGUUCCUAUCAGCAAGGAUCAUUCUGGCCUGCCUGGAACCAUCGUCAGCAGAACCCCUGAACUCUCUAAAGUGACUGGGGUUGGAUGAUGUGUCGUGAGUCAUUCUACUUAGCAGUGGCCUAAUGACUGUCACAGAACACGGUCAGAACUCCUGUGCUUGGGGUUUCUGAUUCUCCUUUCUAGGGACCUGGACAAAGGCAGCUUUGGAGUGCUGAAUAAAUCUCAAUGAUGUCUUUACAGUUCCUCCAUCCUCUGUCUUCCCACUCUUCCUGGAGGCUCAGCAGCAUUCUUCAAGUGGCUUCUCUCAUGAUGACUGCAGUGUCCUCCGUCUCAGAGCUGCAUAACGCACAUCUGGAGGGAGAGACAGUCUCCUGGAGACUCUCUGUCUACAUGUCUCAGCCCAGAUGGGCCAUAGGCUGUUGCUGACCCCAAGCUGUGAUAUCCCAAUCCAGACUUGGUGCUUGAACUGUGUUCAGGAACUGAAACAGACUCCACCCCCAGGAAGUAGACUAAGGAGGGCGCUGCUGGGGACAGCCCGCAUCUUACAAUGCACCAGGUAGAGACACCUCCAGGAAGGAGGAAGAGGAUGAACCUCAGAAGUACCAUCAAGCUGCCCAGCCCAGGACAGCAAGAUACCCUGGUCUGCUAUUGCUGAACUCGGGGGAGACCAUUCAUUUCAGAGAGCAGGGUUUUGUGAUCAGUGGCUUUCUCUGGAAGUUUCUGCACCUGUCCCACUAUGAUUUUGCCCCCAGGUCUCAUGGGAGGAUACACCUCAGAGUCUCUGACUUCUGGGACAAAGGCAAAGAACUCAAGGGCAACUAUUUCCUGAUGUAACCCUUCACAACCAGAAACACUCACUUUUGGCCACAGUGCUAUGGCUCUAGAGGCCAUCAUCUAAAAUCUCACAUCUAGAACGAUAAAAAGAGGGGAGGGGGCUUCUUCAGAAGUUCCCGAAACAAGACUAACUACCGGCUCCAUGCUGGUCCAUGUGUCCCUACAGCUGUGGAUUGAGACUCUUGGCUGAAACAGGCCCUAUCCAGCCUCAGUCACUUGUCUGAGAUCUAAUGUCUCAAGAAAACAUUUAGGAGGUGCCUAUUGUAUGUGAGCACUCCUGCUAGGAGCUAGGAGAUGUUUCAGUGGAAGCUCCAACCCAAGCCCCCCUUCAAACCCUACCUCCUCUGAGAAAGUCUGCCAAGUGGUAGCUCCUCCCUCUGAGAUUCUCAAUAUGACACUUACAGGGUAUUUAAGACCCUGUCCUUUGUCCUUGGUCCUUAGACCUGGCACUAAGUUUCUUUCCUGACUUUCUCAAGAGUCACCCAGGAGUUUCUUUGCUCUGUUUAUUAAACCUGGUUUUAUUA